RNAcentral lists this ribosomal RNA (758 nucleotides) under uncultured bacterium. RNAcentral's name for it is "bacterial SSU rRNA". It matches the Rfam family "Bacterial small subunit ribosomal RNA", at positions 8 to 762 of the family's 1533-position model. The record is from RNAcentral.
AGAGUUUGAUCCUGGCUCAGGACGAACGCUGGUGGCGUGCCUAACACAUGCAAGUCGAACGGAACUUUUUUAAAAGAUUUCUUCGGAAUGAUUUUGAUUAAGUUUAGUGGCGGACGGGUGAGUAACGCGUGAGUAACCUGCCUCUAAGAGGGGAAUAACAUUCUGAAAAGAAUGCUAAUACCGCAUAACAUAUAUUUAUCGCAUGGUAGAUAUAUCAAAGAUUUAUCGCUUAGAGAUGGACUCGCGUCCGAUUAGUUAGUUGGUGAGGUAACGGCUCACCAAGACUGCGAUCGGUAGCCGGACUGAGAGGUUGAACGGCCACAUUGGGACUGAGACACGGCCCAGACUCCUACGGGAGGCAGCAGUGGGGGAUAUUGCGCAAUGGGGGAAACCCUGACGCAGCAACGCCGCGUGAAGGAUGAAGGUCUUCGGAUUGUAAACUUCUUUUAUUAAGGACGAAGAAAGUGACGGUACUUAAUGAAUAAGCUCCGGCUAACUACGUGCCAGCAGCCGCGGUAAUACGUAGGGAGCAAGCGUUGUCCGGAUUUACUGGGUGUAAAGGGUGCGUAGGCGGCUUUGCAAGUCAGAUGUGAAAUCUAUGGGCUCAACCCAUAGCCUGCAUUUGAAACUGCAGAGCUUGAGUGAAGUAGAGGCAGGCGGAAUUCCCCGUGUAGCGGUGAAAUGCGUAGAGAUGGGGAGGAACACCAGUGGCGAAGGCGGCCUGCUGGGCUUUAACUGACGCUGAGGCACGAAAUUUG